GUCCACGCCGUAAACGAUGGGUGCUAGGUGUCGCGGGCUUUGACUCCUGCGGUGCCGUAGCUAACGCAUUAAGCACCCCGCCUGGGAAGUACGGCCGCAAGGCUAAAACUCAAAGGAAUUGACGGGGGCCCCGCACAAGCGGUGGAGCAUGUGGUUUAAUUCGACGCAACGCGAAUAACCUUACCUGGGCUAGAAAAUGCAAGAACCUGGGAGAAGUCUCGGGGUGCUCUUCGGAGAGCUUGUAGUUAGGUGCUGCAUGGCUGUCGU
RNAcentral lists this ribosomal RNA (267 nucleotides) under uncultured bacterium. Its description in RNAcentral is "partial 16S ribosomal RNA". It matches the Rfam family "Bacterial small subunit ribosomal RNA", at positions 793 to 1055 of the family's 1533-position model. The record is from RNAcentral.